This 798-nucleotide long non-coding RNA is filed under the name Ananas comosus (pineapple). RNAcentral's name for it is "long non-coding RNA (ACOM_LNC036580)". Lineage: Eukaryota; Viridiplantae; Streptophyta; Magnoliopsida; Poales; Bromeliaceae. The record is from RNAcentral.
UGAGUUCCAACGUCCGGAUUGGCAUAAUCCAUUCGCCUAUUUGCACCGGACACGAGGCGCACUCCGAGUAGGUAUUAAAUGUCGACCCAGGGCCUUCUACUCGCCACUUGUCACUCGCUUCUAUAUGUAUGCCAUGCAUGCGUGCGAAUGAUCUACUUAUGAAUGAAUGCGUGGCUCCUGUAUCAAAUAAAGCCCUGGAGCGAACUCCGUUAAUUAAAACCAUACCUGCCACAAGGCGAUGCUCCUCCGCCUCCGCAGGUUCCUCAGCUUGGACCUGAGCGGCGAAUACCCGUCCGCUCGGGGCCGAUCGCGCCACCUCAGGUUGACGCGGCAUCAUCGCGCGUCCAGUCGACGCGGCCGUCGGUGGAGCUCCUCCAUAGUGAGCCGGAAUCGCCGGCGCCGAUGCAAUCGAAGGGGCAGGUGAGGCUCCUCCUCCCGGGCAAUCUCGAAUGAAGUGUCCCGGCUGCCCACAUUUGUAACAUUUGCCUCAGCCUUGUUCACAGCGCGAGACCGGGUGGUCUCCGCAUCAUACAAUGCAUCGCCGCGCUCCACCGCCUUUCUGUUGAGUGCGCGAGUACUUCGGGGGUUUCUUGUAACGUGUCUGACCACCCGAACUACCGCCGCCUUGGCGUUUCUUGCCCUUGUCCUUGGACUCCGCCAAAAGCUCACGCUUCUCCCGAACGUGGGCGUCUCCGUGCUCCGCCCAUAGCGCUCGAUCAAAGACCUCAGCAAAGGUCGUGAGCUUAAGUAUUUGCACGGCCUUGUAGAUUCCCGGCCGAAGUCCUCGCAAGAACCACU